This 318-nucleotide small nuclear RNA is filed under the name Microcebus murinus (gray mouse lemur). RNAcentral's name for it is "7SK RNA (ENSMICG00000027062.2)". It matches the Rfam family "7SK RNA". From Rfam's summary of the family: 7SK was discovered as an abundant small nuclear RNA in the mid-70s but a possible function has only recently been suggested. Two independent studies have found that 7SK RNA binds the CDK9/cyclin T complex (known as elongation factor P-TEFb). The record is from Rfam by way of RNAcentral. Lineage: Eukaryota; Metazoa; Chordata; Mammalia; Primates; Cheirogaleidae.
GGAGGUGGGGGUGACCUGGCUGCGACACAUGCCACUCCAUUGAUCGCCAGGGUUGAUUCGGCUGAUCUGGCUGGCUAGGCGGGUGUCCCCUUCUUCCCUCACCGCUCCACGUGUGUCCCUCCCGAACCUGCACGCUUGUGACAGCCUUCCCCGGUAGAGGAAGACGGUUCUGCGGUCAAGGGUGUGGGUACGAGUAGCUGCGCUCUCCUGCUAGAACCUCCAAACAGGCUCCCUCAUGCCACACUGAUUUCUGUAAAUAUCCAUCCUCCCCUACUCACUUUGUUAAGUUUAAGGUAUAUUUCCCUAAAAAUGUACAUU